UACGGAGGGUGCAAGCAUUAAUCGGAAUUAUUGGGCGUAAAGGGCGCGUAGGCGGGAACAUAAGUCAGAUGUGAAAUUCCAGAGCUCAACUCUGGAGCUGCAUUUGAAACUGUAUUUCUUGAGGAUUGACGGAGAAAAUGGAAUUCCACAUGUAGCGGUGAAAUGCGUAGAUAUGUGGAAGAACACCGGUGGCGAAAGCGGUUUUCUAGUUAAUACCUGACGCUGAGGCGCGAGAGCAAGGGGAGCAAACAGG
This 253-nucleotide ribosomal RNA is filed under the name uncultured bacterium. RNAcentral describes it as "partial 16S ribosomal RNA". It matches the Rfam family "Bacterial small subunit ribosomal RNA", at positions 524 to 776 of the family's 1533-position model. The record is from RNAcentral.